CUUUGAUUCCUGUUCUGCCUGGUCGUACCGAUCCCUGGCUGAGGAAAUACUAUCUGAGAUGCUCCAAUCUGUUGAAAUUUGGCUGGGCAAUCUUUCCUUAUGUGUCCCAUCUGACCACACUGGUAACAGACUCCAACCCCUCAAAGACACUCGCCUGGAUAAAACUUCCCAUAAGAUUGGCACUGUGGAAAGGUCCGAUGAUUAGAAGCCUCACUUUGCCUCGCUCCUUGAAUUCUCUAUGAAGAACCCUAAACAUAAGAAUGGCUCCCCACCGACUGCUGUCCAGAACUCUGGCUAUGUCUUGAUCCCUGACUAGAACUAGAACUCCCAGACUUAGAUUUAAAACCACCAAAUUUAGUGACACCUGGCCAAAAUCAUUUUCUGUUCUUCUUGAACCUUUCUCCUGAAGCUCCCGUUUGACUAUUACCACCUCGGAAGGUCACUUGUGCUCCUUGAUUACUUCUUUCUCGAAUAGCUGUCUCAAUCCACAACGUCGCCUCAACCAACAUACCGAAAUUUUGAUGCUCAUGAGCAGUAACCAUAGGCCGGAUCUCUGCUCUCAAUCCUUGCUCGAACCGUCUACACCUAUCUCUUUCCUUAGCAACCAAAGCACUUGCAUACUUAGACAAUUCUACAAACCUUACAUGAUAUUCAACAACCGACAUAGACCCCUGAGCCAAUCUUAAAAAUUCAUUUUGUUUUGCAUCACAAUAAAAUGGAGGAUAAUAUGUUUCAUAGAAAGCUUCCUUGAAAAUGGUCCAAGUGAUAAGACUCAGAUCUGG
This 782-nucleotide long non-coding RNA is filed under the name Olea europaea subsp. europaea. Lineage: Eukaryota; Viridiplantae; Streptophyta; Magnoliopsida; Lamiales; Oleaceae. The record is from RNAcentral.